RNAcentral lists this ribosomal RNA (519 nucleotides) under Ramsdenia torquata. Its description in RNAcentral is "partial 16S small subunit ribosomal RNA". It matches the Rfam family "Bacterial large subunit ribosomal RNA", at positions 1807 to 2609 of the family's 2925-position model. The record is from RNAcentral. Lineage: Eukaryota; Metazoa; Mollusca; Gastropoda; Littorinimorpha; Pomatiidae.
ACAAAAACAUGUCUCUUUGUUUUAUAGUAUAUAGAGAGUCUGACCUGCCCAGUGAUAAAUUAUUUAACGGCCGCAGUACUUUGACUGUGCGAAGGUAGCAUAAUUAUUUGCCUUAUAAUUGAAGGCUUGUAUGAAUGGUUUAACGAAAAUAAGUCUGUCUUAAUUUGAUUUUUUAGAAUUUAACUUUUAAGUGAAGAGGCUUUUAUUUAAUUGAUAGACAAGAAGACCCUGUCGAGCUUAAAUUAUAAUAUAUAUCAUAAAAAUAUGAGUUAAUAAUUGUUUUAGUUGGGGUGACUAAGGAAUAAUAUAAGUUUCUUUAUUUUUUUAAUAAAUUAUUGUUUUUGAUCCAUAAAUAGUGAUUAGUAGAAUUAGUUACCGCAGGGAUAACAGCAUAAUCUUUUUUGAGAGUUCUUAUCGAAAAAUGGGUUUGUGACCUCGAUGUUGGAUUGAAGUGUCCUAAAGGUGCAGACGCUUUUGAGGGUUAGUCUGUUCGACUAUUAAAACUUUACAUGAGCUGAG